RNAcentral lists this transfer RNA (88 nucleotides) under Alphaproteobacteria bacterium. RNAcentral's name for it is "tRNA-Leu". It matches the Rfam family "tRNA". From Rfam's summary of the family: Transfer RNA (tRNA) molecules are approximately 80 nucleotides in length. Their secondary structure includes four short double-helical elements and three loops (D, anti-codon, and T loops). Lineage: Bacteria; Pseudomonadati; Pseudomonadota; Alphaproteobacteria. The record is from RNAcentral. RNAcentral also lists the same sequence under 2 other names.
GCGGCCAUGGUGGAAUAGGUAGACACAAGGGACUUAAAAUCCCUCGGCAGAUAAUGCCGUCCCGGUUCGACUCCGGGUGGCCGCACCA